This 74-nucleotide transfer RNA is filed under the name Gammaproteobacteria bacterium. RNAcentral describes it as "tRNA-Cys". It matches the Rfam family "tRNA". Rfam says of the family: Transfer RNA (tRNA) molecules are approximately 80 nucleotides in length. Their secondary structure includes four short double-helical elements and three loops (D, anti-codon, and T loops). Further hydrogen bonds mediate the characteristic L-shaped molecular structure. tRNAs have two regions of fundamental functional importance: the anti-codon, which is responsible for specific mRNA codon recognition, and the 3' end, to which the tRNAs corresponding amino acid is attached (by aminoacyl-tRNA synthetases). tRNAs cope with the degeneracy of the genetic code in two manners: having more than one tRNA (with a specific anti-codon) for a particular amino acid; and 'wobble' base-pairing, i.e. permitting non-standard base-pairing at the 3rd anti-codon position. The record is from RNAcentral. Lineage: Bacteria; Pseudomonadati; Pseudomonadota; Gammaproteobacteria.
GGCUGGGUGGCAGAGUGGCUAUGCAGCGGAUUGCAAAUCCGUGGACCUCGGUUCGACUCCGGGCCUAGCCUCCA